This 253-nucleotide ribosomal RNA is filed under the name uncultured bacterium. RNAcentral describes it as "partial 16S ribosomal RNA". It matches the Rfam family "Bacterial small subunit ribosomal RNA", at positions 524 to 776 of the family's 1533-position model. The record is from RNAcentral.
UACGUAGGGAGCAAGCGUUGUCCGGAAUCAUUGGGCGUAAAGCGCGCGUAGGCGGCUCGGUCAGUCGGGUGUGAAAUCCCUGGGCUCAACCUGGGAACUGCAUUCGAUACUGCCGAGCUAGAGUGUGGGAGAGGGUGGUGGAAUUCCCGGUGUAGCGGUGAAAUGCGUAGAUAUCGGGAGGAACAUCAGUGGCGAAGGCGACCGCCUGGCCCAACACUGACGCUGAGGUGCGAAAGCGUGGGUAGCAAACAGG